ACUUCAGCUGCAUCUAUCCAUUUUUCCUCUUUCUCUCUUUAAUUUAAUUUUAUUUUUUAUUUUGCAGUUCAAUUUCUGACCUAGUAAAAUCAGCCUUUGGUUAUGGUGUGCAGGAGCUGAUGUUCAUGAGAAGGGGCUAACAUACUCCACACCAAAGAAAAAUGCAGGUCAACAGGAGACAGCUAUUCAUUGCCAGCAAAGGGAAGAUGAAAAAACACACAAUACCUCCUCUACCAUUUUUUUAACUGUUUUCAGGUGAGUAGAAUGAAAACAGGUGCUGCAAUUAUGCUUCAGGUAACACAAAGCACGUAAAUGUGAUGGAGACAUUCUCCCCUUCUUGCUUUUUGCUUUGUCGUGUGAAGCCUUGGAGAAAAUAAUGUGGUGAAUGCCAAAUACAGUGAGAGACCCAGCAGAAUGCAAGUGAGCGAAGGAGUUAGGGCACUCGUAUGACUAGGAGGGAGAAAGAAGAUCCCGUGGCCCCCUGAGGUGGCUCUAUUUUCAGCAGCUCCCUGGGUUUGACGCCCUAGUGCUUUGCAGCAAAUGGCUACCUCCAGCUUCUCUAGUUAAGGUAAUCAGAGCACCUCUCGGAAGAUUUAUGUCCUUCCUAUUGGACUUUUUGAGAGGAUACCUCAGCCUGGACUUUGUCUAGCCUGGUCAGGUAUAGCUGGGCACCAGCAGUUAGUGCUCUCAGAUUGAAUUCAAACGCCUUGCUGACACAGAUGUGGAGCUGAGAUCUGCUUUCCUGCAAGCACCUGGAUUCUUCAGAUGCCUGUUGACAGACCUCACAAAGCAAAUAGAUAGUGAAAGAGGCUGUCCUGAUGAUAGUCCUGCUGGGGAUCCCCAGCUCAGCCCCUUGAAGAACAUUGGGCCCAUGCUGCAUAUCACUUGUGUGCCAGGUGAACGCCUCAUGAAUGCAUUGUAGACAUCUUUCUUGCCCUCUCCCCUUGCUGCUCUCUGACAUGGGGCUCGCUGGGUGACCCUGUCCUUGGCAUGUUGCUUGGCACGCCUGGGGCCAUCCAUGGACUCCAUUACAGCACCCAUCUGGGCCUCUCACACCCAGACUCUGAGGGAUGGCGCCUAUCAAUGAGAGAACUCAGCCUCAUGCUCA
This 1108-nucleotide long non-coding RNA is filed under the name Numida meleagris (helmeted guineafowl). RNAcentral describes it as "lncRNA (ENSNMEG00000004689.1)". Lineage: Eukaryota; Metazoa; Chordata; Aves; Galliformes; Numididae. The record is from RNAcentral.